AUGAUUUGCCCUCAGACGUGCAGGAAAAGCGAUGGGAGGCAGAAUUUUUGUGCUGGCAACCUUGGGCACCAUCAGGGGACAAGCCCUGCCCCGAGCUGCCUGCAGCUCGCCCCGGUGCCCUUCCCCUCCCUGCUGCUCCUCCCAGCCCCUCGCUCCUUUUCCAGGUUAGAAAUCCAGGACGCUGCCGGAUGCGCUGGAGGAAGGUGGGGGAAAGGCAGCCAAACCUGGCGGGCUCAGGAGGUUAUUUCUGGCCGGGCUCAGUGCCGCGCUCGCUACCUUUCGCUGCCUCCUUCCCACCUCCCACGGCCCCGCUGCAGCUGGGGCGGAGGAGCCAGCGCCAGCCCCGCGGUGAUGGGGGCAGGAGGCAGAGCUGAUGGCAGCUCCUGGAGGCUGCGUGCCAGCACAGGAGGGUUAGUGGGUUGGAAAAAUAUGUCCAGGAGUGUCAGUGGGACCUUCCUCCCCCUCGCUGCUUCGCCCCACGCCUCGAUCCUUGAGCUGGGUGAGGGUCUGGGCGAACCGAGCGCAUCCCCAUCGCCUCCAGGCAGGCUCUGUGGUGUGAAUGGAGAGCCUGGCUUCUGGUUUUUACGCUUUUCUCAUGAUUUCUGCUGUGUUCCCAUGGCUCCAGCUGCCGGGACAGCCGGGGGAGCAGCUGGCAGCGCGCUCAGCCCCGGUGCCACACACUUGCCCGAGCAAAAGCUGCGAGCGAAGGGAGCCGGCAGUGUGGGGGCUGCUCCAAAAAACCAUUUCCUGAGCGUGCCGAGGUUCGCUCCCCACGGGGGAAAUCUCGGUGCUGGGCAGGACGAUGCUCUCCUCGCUUCCCCAGCGAGGAUUUGGGCUCAGCAUCCUCCAUGGCGAGGGGCCGCGGGGGCCUCCGGAGCGGCACGGCCGGCGCCGGGCGGGCUGUGGGGCUGGAGGCACGUGUAUUUGUGGCAGGCAGAAAGUAAACGCUGUCACUUCAUAUUACCAAGUGAACGCUGUCACUUCGCGUUACGGUCCCGCUCGCCUGCGCUCGGGUGCUGGCAGCCGCAGCCCGGCCCUGGCCUCGCUGCAACACGAGCCCCGGCGGCACGGCCAAGCACAGCGCCGGCCAAACCGAGCAGCCCGGGCUUGGCUGGGGAGGUUCUUGCACAACCUCCAGCCAGGCCCCUCUCCUCACCACUUUUUGCCCUCCGAGGGGGAUCUGCAGGGCUUUCUGCUGGGUUUGGCAUCGAAUGGGGGCUGCUGAGCAGAUAA
RNAcentral lists this long non-coding RNA (1233 nucleotides) under Anas platyrhynchos platyrhynchos (common mallard). RNAcentral describes it as "lncRNA (ENSAPLG00000017608.1)". Lineage: Eukaryota; Metazoa; Chordata; Aves; Anseriformes; Anatidae. The record is from RNAcentral.